This 384-nucleotide ribosomal RNA is filed under the name uncultured prokaryote. Its description in RNAcentral is "bacterial SSU rRNA". It matches the Rfam family "Archaeal small subunit ribosomal RNA", at positions 341 to 725 of the family's 1478-position model. The record is from RNAcentral.
GCGAAAACUUUACAAUGCUGGCAACAGCGAUAAGGGAACCUCGAGUGCCAGGUUACAAAUCUGGCUGUCGAGAUGCCUAAAAAGCAUUUCAUAGCAAAGGCCGGGCAAGACCGGUGCCAGCCGCCGCGGUAACACCGGCGGCUCGAGUGGUAACCGUUAUUAUUGGGUCUAAAGGGUCUGUAGCCGGCCGGAUAAGUCUCUUGAGAAAUCUGGCAGCUUAACUGUCAGGCUUUCAGGAGAUACUGUCUGGCCCGAGGCCGGGAGAGGUGAGAGGUACUUCAGGGGUAGGGGUGAAAUCUUGUAAUCCUUGAAGGACCACCAGUGGCGAAGGCGUCUCACCAGAACGGACCUGACGGCAAGGGACGAAAGCUAGGGGCACGAACC